AUAACUUUCUCGGCCUUUUGGCUAAGAUCAAGGGUAGAAUUUGUUUUUCAGUUUAAUAUUUGAUGAUACGUGAGCCAUUGGCUCACAUGAUAUGAAAUUAAUUUCUUGAGGAGGAGGACCCGUCACAAUAACUUGCUAUUGGGGUCUCUCGCUCGUCGCCUAGGCGUUGCACUACUGCCUUGGCCUGACGCACCCCAA
This is a small nuclear RNA of Rhododendron vialii, 198 nucleotides long. RefSeq annotates it as U2 spliceosomal RNA. The record is from RefSeq and is a predicted model, not a curated record. Lineage: Eukaryota; Viridiplantae; Streptophyta; Magnoliopsida; Ericales; Ericaceae. The transcript has a single exon.